AAACUCCACCUCCAGACCUUAAUUUCUGGUCCCAUUUGUUCAAAGCGUUCUGUGGCUUGGUUCAUAUUGUGUCUGUGUUCAGAGUUUAUUCCUGAGCCCUCCGGGUUUUAAGGAAGGAGGCUGAAGGCUUCGACCCUGCUGCCUGGCUGCGAUGCUGCUCACGCUGGGACCGGUGCUCCUGCUGGGCCUGACGCUGUCCCUGUUGGACCCGGCCUCCGGAGCCUCCUCUCUGGGGCUGACCGUGUUCGCUGUGCCCCAGGACGGUGAUGGAGGAACAACGGUGCGAGCCUAUUUUACAGCCAUCGCUCCCAGUCCUUGUCCAUCCCUGUCUGGACUGUGUGCUGCAGGCGAGGACUGUCGCGUCUACUCCACCUCCCUGCCCUUUAACGGCACGCUGCCCAGUCCGGGCUGGUGUGUCCGUCAGUGGCAGAAGGUCGUCCCCAGCAGCUAUAACGCCUCCUUCGCCUUGGGGUCCAACACAGACGUGCAUGUAGUGAUGAAGGCAGGACCCACCGUCCGGCCGAACACUGGGAGGCUCAAUCAGCCUCCGUAUGUCGCGCUCCCUCCUCCACUGAGAGCGCGCGUGAACUGCCCUCACGACGUCUUUCUGUCUGUGAAAGACCUGGACGGGGACCGAGUGCGAUGCCGCUACGCGCGUCCUGAGGACGGAGAGUGUGACAACUGCAAACAGUUCCAGUUCCUGGAACUGGAUGAGGAACGCUGUCUGCUGACGUUCACUGGACGAGCACAGGCCGGACAGUACUCCAUCCACCUGGUGGCAGAGGAUUUUAGUCCUUCACCUAAGAUGAGGCUGGUCACAGACCAAACGCCGCUCAGCUCCGUCCCGGUGCAGCUCACUCUCACUGUGGAGGCCUCAAACACCUUCUGCAGUAGCGAACCUGUGGCGUACGGGGAGACGCCCAGAGACGGCGCCGCGCUGUUCCUUCUGCCGUUCCAGCAGGAGACGUUCACCGUCAGCUUCGACUCACGGUCCGAGAGCGUUUCUGACAUAGCGGUGGUCGGUCCCCCCGAGCUCUUCAGAACCAACUUCAAGUCAUUGGGGCCCCUGGCGGCGCUGACCAUGGCCUGGGUCCGGUCCAACAACACUCUGCCUCACCUUUUGCCUGUCUGCUACGUUGCCAAUACCAUAAAUUUACAGUCAGAGCCCAGAUGUGUGUGGCUGUACCAAAGGCAGAUGAAGGCACUCCCUGCUGGAACAGAGCUGAGUUGUCAGAAGACUGAGAUGGUGCUGGUGCUCCCGGUCGCCUCCCUGAAAAACAUCAAGCUGGCAGAACUGCAGCUCAACAGUGCCACCUGUCCCAUCAGCUACAACAGCACACACCUGACUGCACACAUCUCCCUGAGCGGCUGUGGCACCAAGGCUGUGCAAGCUGGUUCAGAGCUGGUUUACACCAACACCUUGCAAAGUGUGCAGCCGUACACGGUGAUCAGCCGCAGGCCGUCCCUCAUCCUGCCGUUGGCCUGUAGGAUCCCUGGAGCCCAAGUCAGGGGUCCACAGUACAACGCGUCCGUCCCUACGGAGCAGGAGGCCUUUGGUGCGUUUAACUUCCAGCUGGACUUUUACCUCCCAGGACAAGGGCCCCUGUCAAAAUUCACUCGCAGCCCCACCUUUCGCACCUUCCAGCCAUCAGCACGAAGGCGUCGAGACGUUGUCUCGUCCUCCGGAGACAAUAGAAUCUCCAUCAAGUCCACGAGUGGUGACAACUCCAGAAUCACGCAGCUGGACAUGUAUGUGACGUCCAACUGCAGCGUGGCUGCAGCGGAGCUGAUAGUGAGCCACUGUAUGGAGUCUGACACCGAGGACUUCACCGUGAACACCCCCAUUUUACAGCAAGGGUGUUUGGCUUCCAACAGCAUAUUGGAAAUUCUUACAACAAACACCAAUGUCAAGAUUUACCGACUUGAUCUGAGCACCUUGGCACCAAAAGGAUCAAUGAUGUACGUUCAGUGCACAGUCAACCUGUGCAUCACUACCACGCCCUCCUCCACCUGCCCUGAUCUGUGCAGCCGUGCCACCAGUGCAGGACCACUGGUGUCCAGUUUCUUGACCAAAUCCUACAACGUGACCUCAGGAGCCAUCAGCCUGUUGGUCACCACUCCUGCACCAUCCACAACUGUCAACACUGCAGCUCCCACUGCCACUGGUGCCACUGGUUCCACCACCAAACCCGCAGCCACCCACAGCACCACCCGCUCGUAUGCUCCAGGACGGGCUCCAGGAGUGGCAGCAGCAGCGAUUUUGACAACCCUGAGUGUAUUUCUCCAAAACACCUUUUCUUACUAA
This 2305-nucleotide long non-coding RNA is filed under the name Betta splendens (Siamese fighting fish). RNAcentral's name for it is "lncRNA (ENSBSLG00000012731.1)". The record is from RNAcentral. Lineage: Eukaryota; Metazoa; Chordata; Actinopteri; Anabantiformes; Osphronemidae.